GACGAACGCUGGCGGCGCGCCUAACACAUGCAAGUCGAACGAGCGAGAGGAGGUUUACUUUCUCAAGCGAGUGGCAAACGGGUGAGUAACGCGUGAGGAACCUGCCUCAAAGAGGGGGACAACAGUUGGAAACGACUGCUAAUACCGCAUAAGCCCACGACCCGGCAUCGGGUAGAGGGAAAAGGAGCAAUCCGCUUUGAGAUGGCCUCGCGUCCGAUUAGCUAGUUGGUGAGGUAAUGGCCCACCAAGGCGACGAUCGGUAGCCGGACUGAGAGGUUGAACGGCCACAUUGGGACUGAGACACGGCCCAGACUCCUACGGGAGGCAGCAGUGGGGAAUAUUGCACAAUGGGGGAAACCCUGAUGCAGCGACGCCGCGUGGAGGAAGAAGGUCUUCGGAUUGUAAACUCCUGUUGUUGAGGAAGAUAAUGACGGUACUCAACAAGGAAGUGACGGCUAACUACGUG
Molecule: ribosomal RNA, 466 nt
Filed under: uncultured bacterium
Lineage: Bacteria
Description: partial 16S ribosomal RNA
Rfam family: Bacterial small subunit ribosomal RNA
Source: RNAcentral